Molecule: RNA transcript, 2540 nt
Organism: Aethalodelphis obliquidens (Pacific white-sided dolphin)
Lineage: Eukaryota; Metazoa; Chordata; Mammalia; Artiodactyla; Delphinidae
Gene name: heat shock 70 kDa protein 6-like
Exons: 1
Source: RefSeq, a predicted model, not a curated record
UGUCAGCCGGAGCGGGGGGCCGGGCGUCUCUGGGCUCGCCGCGAAGGCGCUGGAAGGUUCGCGUCGGCGGGGGCGUGGGUAUGGCGGGCCUCCGGCAACCGGAUAAAAAGCUCGUGGAAGCGGAGCCGAGCAGAUCCGAGCUGGGCAGGCAGGAGAGUCGCACCGCUGAGCGCACCUCCACGGCUGAGCCGCUCGAAGUUCCGCAGACUCCUGCAUUUGAAUCGGUAUCACACUCGUCCCAGAAGUGCGAGAAGCCACAGCCAUGUCCGCUGCAAGGGAAGUGGCCAUAGGCAUCGACCUGGGCACCACAUACUCAUGCGUGGGCAUGUUCCAGCAAGGCCAGGUGGAGAUCCUCGCCGACGACCAGGGCAACCGCACCACCCCCAGCUACUUGACUUUCACCGACACCGAGCGUCGGGUGGGCGAUGUGGCCAAGACCCAUGCGGAUCUGAACCCACACAACAGAGUGUUCCACGCCAAGUGACUGAUCGGGCGCAAGUUCGCAGACCCCACUGUGCAGUCGGACAUGAAGCACUGGCCCUUCCAGGUGGUGAGCGAGGGCAGCAAGCCCAAGGUGCGCGUGUCCUACCGCGGGGAGGGCAAGGCGUUCUACACCCCGAGGAGAUCUCGUCCGUGGUGCGGAGCAAGAUGGAGACAGCGGAGGCGUACCUGGGCCAGCCCCUGAGGCACGCUGUAAUCACGGUGCCCUCCUACUUCAGCGACUCCCAGCGUCAGGCCACCAAGGACGCGGGUGCCAUCGCGGGGCUCAACACGCUGAGGAUCAUCAACCAGCUCACGGCGGCUGUCACGGCCUAUGGCCUGGACCGGCAGGGCGCCGGAGAGCGCAACGUGCUCAUUUUCGACUUGGGUGGGGGCACCUUCCACGUGUCGGUCCUCACUAUCGACGCCGGUGUCUUUGAGGUGAAGGCCACGGCUGGAGACACUCAUCUGGGUGGAGAGGACUUCGACAACCGGCUGGUGAACCACUUCGUGGAGGAGUUCCGGCGGAAGCACGGGAAGGACUUGAGCAGGAACAAGCGGGCCCUGCGCAGGCUCUGUACAGCCUCUGAGCGCGCCAAGCGCACCCUGCCCUCCAGCACCCAGGCCACUCUGGAGAUCGAUUCCCUGUUUGAGGGCGUAGACUUCUACACUUCCAUCACUCGAGCCUGCUUUGAAGAACUGUGCUCGGACCUCUUCUGCAGCACCCUGGAGCCGCUGGAGAAGGCCCUAAGGGGUGCCAAACUGCACAAGGCCCAGAUCCCUGACACUGUCCUAGUGGGUGGCUCCACCCGCAUCCCCAAGGUACAAAAAUUCCUGCAGGACUUCUUCCAUGGCAGGGAGCUGAACAAGAGCAUCGACCCGUAUGAGGCUGUGGCUUAUGGGGCUGCUGUGCAGGCAGCAGUGUUGAUGGGGGACAAGUGUGAGAAGGUGCAGGAUCUCCUGCUGCUGGAUGUGGCUCCCCUGUCCCUUGGGCUGGAGACAGCUGGUGGGGUGAUGGCUACGCUGAUCCAGAGGAAUGCCACCAUCCCGGCCAAGCAGACCCAGACUUUUCACUACCUAUUCAGACAACCAGCCUGGGGUCCUGAUCCAGGUGUAUGAGGGUGAGAGGGCCAUGACUAGGGACAACAACCGGCUGGGAUACUUUGAGCUCAGGGGCAUCCCUCCUGCCCCACGUGGAGUCCCCCAGAUCGAGGUGACUUCUGACAUUGAUGCCGGUGGCAUCCUGAGUGUGACAGCCACUGACAGGAGCACAGGCAAAGCUAACAAGAUCACCAUCACCAAUGACAAGGGCCGGCUGAGCAAGGAGGAAGUGGGGAAGAUGGCUUGUGAGGCUGAACAGUACAAGGAUGUUCAGGAUGAGGAUGAGGCCCAGAGGGACAGGGUGGCUGCCAAAAACUCUCUGGAGGCCUAUGUCUUCCAUGUGAAGAGCUCUUUGCAAGAGGAGAGACUUAGAGACAAGAUUCCUGAAGAGGACAGGUGCGAAGUACAAGACAAGUGUCAGGAAGUCCUUGCUUGGCUGGAGCACAACCGGUUGGCAGAGAAAGAGGAAUAUGUGCAUCAGAAGGGGGAGCUGGAGCAUAUCUGUCACCCCGUCUUCUCCAGGCUCUACGGGGGGCCUGGUGUCCGUGGCGGUAGAAGUUGUGGAUCUCAAGCCCGACAGGGAACCCCCAGUACUGGCCCUGUCAUUGAGGAAGUUGAUUAAAUGGCCCCUCCUGGCAAGGCAGCUGUGACUGUAAGGGCUGGGCUUGUGGACUUUCUAGACUGUCUACUAUGAUCCUGCCUAUCUUGAGGGGUGGGAGUGGAGGAGAACCUUGCCCCCAAACAGGGAGUUUUAUUGGUCAGUAUGUUUUAUAACUGAGAUAUUUGCCAGUUGACUUUUAAAAAAUCUUCUUCUCCUACUUCAGACAAGCAGAAGUAAUCAUUAUGAACAUUUGUGUGGCACUUUAUCACUGCUUUUAUCUACAUUUAAUGUAUUUUGUUACUUGCAUGUAUGGAUUUUGUUAUGUGAAAUAAAAGAGCUAAAUAAACUUUUAAAGUUU